This 3079-nucleotide ribosomal RNA is filed under the name Anaerococcus hydrogenalis. RNAcentral describes it as "bacterial LSU rRNA". It matches the Rfam family "Bacterial large subunit ribosomal RNA". Lineage: Bacteria; Bacillati; Bacillota; Tissierellia; Tissierellales; Peptoniphilaceae. The record is from RNAcentral.
UCAAGAAAGAAAGGGCACAAGGUGGAUGCCUUGGCACAUGAAGGCGAAAAAGGACGUAAGUGAACGAAAACUAGGGUAAGCUCACAAAAAGCAUUGACCCCUAGGUCUCCGAAUGGGGCAACCCGGUUGUGGAAGACACAAUCAUUACUAAGUGAAUACAUAGCUUAGUAAGGCGACACCCUGCGAACUGAAACAUCUAAGUAGCAGGAGGAAAAGAAAGAAAAUUCGAUUUUCUAAGUAGCGGCGAGCGAAAGGAAAAGAGCCUAACUCAUUAGUGAUUUGGUAAUGUUAGUCAAAUUAUCUGAAAAGAUAAACCAAAGAAAGUGAAAGUCUUGUAGACGAAAGCAUUACUAAACGAGAGGGAAAGUAUCACCGGGCACGAGUAACCCGGUGUGAAGAUAGGGGGCCCAUCCCCUAAGGCUAAAUACUAACAUGUGACCGAUAGUGAACAAGUACCGUGAGGGAAAGGUGAAAAGAACCCCGAAAGGGGAGUGAAAUAGAACCUGAAACCUAGUGCCUACAAGCAGACAGAGCGUGAACGAACGUGAUGUCGUACCUUUUGUAGAAUGGGCCAGCGAGUUAUUCUAAAUUGCGAGGUUAAUGAUUUAAGAUCAGAAGCCGUAGCGAAAGCGAGUCUUAAUAGGGCGAAAGUAAGUUAGAAUAGACCCGAAACCGGGUGAUCUAUCCAUGGUCAGAGUGAAGUUGAAGUAAAAUUCAAUGGAGGCUCGAACCGGGUGCGGUUUAAAACGCAUCGGAUGAACUGUGGAUAGGGGCGAAAAACCAAACGAACCCGGAGAUAGCUGGUUCUCCUCGAAAUAGCUUUAGGGCUAGCCUCUGACCUAAGAUUUUAGGGGGUAGAGCACUGAAUGGUCUAGGGCGGGUUACCGUACCAAAACCUAUCAAACUCCGAAUACCAAAAAAUCAAGUCAGGGAGUCAGACUUAGGGGGAUAAGCUUCUAAGUCGAAAGGGAAACAGCCCAGACCGACAGCUAAGGUCCCAAAAUUUGAAUUAAGUGGAAAAGGAUGUGAAUCUACUAAGACAACCAGGACGUUGGCUUAGAAGCAGCCAUGCAUUUAAAGAAUGCGUAAUAGCUCACUGGUCAAGUGGGUUUGCGCCGAAAAUGAACGGGGCUAAAUUCAAUACCGAAGCUUCGGAUUAAUAGAGGGAUUAAGUUUACAAAUGAGACUAGGAAAUAUUUAACAAAAAACAAUAACAGAAGAGAUUAAAAAAGAAAUACAAAUUUCAGACGCAGACAUAAAAGAUAGGAUAUUAAAGAUAAGAAAAAAUAUUCAAAAAACACAAGUCUAAAGUCAAAGUAGGUAUCAUAAGAAAUUAUGAACUAACAAUCACUGGUUAAGAGUUAAAAAAAACUAGGACUCAUAGCUAAACUUAAUACCUCUAUUAGUGGUAGAGGAGCAUUGUAUUAGAGACGAAGCCAAGGCGAAAGCAAAAGUGGAUUUAAUACAAGAGAGAAUGCUGGCAUGAGUAGCGAGAAGGAGUGUGAGAAUCACUCCCGUCGAAACCCUAAGGACUCCUGAGCAAGGCUCGUCCCCUCAGGGAAAGUCGGGACCUAAGCCAAGGCCGAAAGGCGUAGGCGAUGGAUAACAGGUUUAUAUUCCUGUACCGCUUGAAGUCGUUAAGAGAGAUGUGAUGACGCAAAAGGAUAAUCAAAGCCAUCCGAUGGAUGAUGGUCUAAAGCCGUAGGAAGAAAAGUAGGCAAAUCCGCUUUUCACAAAUUCUGAAAGCCGAUAGGUAUCGAAAACAUAAGUAGAGAAGUUGAUGACUCCAUGUUGCCAAGAAAAGUCACUAUCCAGACCAAAGCGCCCGUACCAAAACCGACACAGGUAGGGAGGUAGAGAAUACCAAGACGCGCGGAAGAACCUUUGUUAAGGAACUCGGCAAAAUGUCCCCGUAACUUCGGGAGAAGGGGAGCCUGAGCGAUCAGGCCACAGAAACCAGGCCCAAGCGACUGUUUACCAAAAACACAAGUUUCUGCAAAAUCGCAAGAUGAAGUAUAGGAGCUGACACCUGCCCGGUGCUGGAAGGUUAAGGGGAAGGCUUAGAGCAAUCGAAGGCUAGAACUUAAGCCCCAGUAAACGGCGGCCGUAACUAUAACGGUCCUAAGGUAGCGAAAUUCCUUGUCGGGUAAGUUCCGACCCGCACGAAAGGUGUAACGAUUUGGGCACUGUCUCAACAAAGGAUCCGGUGAAAUUGUAGUAGUCGUGAAGAUGCGACUUACCCACGCUAGGACGGAAAGACCCCGUGGAGCUUUACUGUAGGCUGAUAUUGGAUUUUGAGAUUAAAUGUACAGGAUAGUUGGGAGACUAGGAGAUCUGGAUGCCAAUCUAGGAGGAGUCAUUGGUGGGAUACCAACCUUUUAAUAUCAAAGUUCUAACCAUAGCCCUUGAAUCAGGGCAUGGGACAUUGUCAGUUGGGCAGUUUGACUGGGGCGGUCGCCUCCUAAAAAGUAACGGAGGCGUUCAAAGGUUCGCUCAGAAUGGACGGAAACCAUUCGUAGAGUAUAAAGGCAAAAGCGAGCUUAACUGCGAGAGCUACAACUCAAGCAGAGUCGAAAGACGGACUUAGUGAUCCGGUGGUACCGCAUGGAAGGGCCAUCGCUCAACGGAUAAAAGCUACCCCGGGGAUAACAGGCUUAUCUCCCCCAAGAGUCCACAUCGACGGGGAGGUUUGGCACCUCGAUGUCGGCUCGUCUCAUCCUGGGGCUGGAGUAGGUCCCAAGGGUUGGGCUGUUCGCCCAUUAAAGAGGCACGCGAGCUGGGUUCAGAACGUCGUGAGACAGUUCGGUCCCUAUCCAGCGUGGGCGUAAGAAAUUUGAGAGGAGCUGUCCUUAGUACGAGAGGACCGGGAUGGACGCACCAAUGGUGUACGAGUUGUUAGGCCACUAGCAUGGCUCGGUAGCUAAGUGCGGAAUUGAUAAGUACUGAAAGCAUCUAAGUACGAAGCAACCCUCAAGAUAAGAUUUCUUAGAGUAGGUAAAGAAAAUACCUUAGAUAGGUCCAAGGUGUAAGUGCAGUAAUGUAUUAAGCUAAUGGAUACUAAACUUUAUAUCUUGACUGG